AGGAGCUGGAGCACUAGGGAUAGUUAUAGGACGAGUCAGGGUGCUGUAACCAUGACACCACACCAAUACUGGAUCUGAGGAGGCCACCACUCCACAACCCUGUGGAUAUGGGAAGCUGACGUGGGGUGACCAGUGCGAAUGGACGUGGGGGUGGUGUUCACUGCUGGGGGAGAAACGAAUGGGGAAUGACGGGACGCUCUGGAUUAGGGAAAAGCUAUCCCAAUCGUGACACUUGUAAAUAUGUUAAUCUGUUAAUUUGACGUUAAAGCUUAUAUGCCUUGAAUGUGAAUACACAAUACAUGUUAGCUGCAGCCACUCACUCAGCUAUGACUUUGGGGGUCGCGACAGAGAGGAGAGCCCCAUAUAUACUCUUUGACACCUUAUCUGGGCGGAG
This is a non-coding RNA of Pelobates cultripes (western spadefoot toad), 394 nucleotides long. Lineage: Eukaryota; Metazoa; Chordata; Amphibia; Anura; Pelobatidae. The record is from the annotation of a GenBank genome assembly.